GAGUUUGAUCCUGGCUCAGAUUGAACGCUGGCGGCAGGCCUAACACAUGCAAGUCGAGCGGUAGAGAGAAGCUUGCUUCUCUUGAGAGCGGCGGACGGGUGAGUAAUGCCUAGGAAUCUGCCUGGUAGUGGGGGAUAACGCUCGGAAACGGACGCUAAUACCGCAUACGUCCUACGGGAGAAAGCAGGGGACCUUCGGGCCUUGCGCUAUCAGAUGAGCCUAGGUCGGAUUAGCUAGUUGGUGAGGUAAUGGCUCACCAAGGCGACGAUCCGUAACUGGUCUGAGAGGAUGAUCAGUCACACUGGAACUGAGACACGGUCCAGACUCCUACGGGAGGCAGCAGUGGGGAAUAUUGGACAAUGGGCGAAAGCCUGAUCCAGCCAUGCCGCGUGUGUGAAGAAGGUCUUCGGAUUGUAAAGCACUUUAAGUUGGAGGAAGGGCAGUAAAUUAAUACUUUAGCUGUUUUGACGUUA
Molecule: ribosomal RNA, 473 nt
Filed under: uncultured bacterium
Lineage: Bacteria
Description: bacterial SSU rRNA
Rfam family: Bacterial small subunit ribosomal RNA
Source: RNAcentral